UACGUAGGGCGCAAGCGUUAUCCAGAAUUAUUGGGCGUAAAGAGCUCGUAGGCGGUUUGUCGCGUCUGCCGUGAAAGUCCGGGGCUCAACUCCGGAUCUGCGGUGGGUACGGGCAGACUAGAGUGAUGUAGGGGAGACUGGAAUUCCUGGUGUAGCGGUGAAAUGCGCAGAUAUCAGGAGGAACACCGAUGGCGAAGGCAGGUCUCUGGGCAUUAACUGACGCUGAGGAGCGAAAGCAUGGGGAGCGAACAGG
Molecule: ribosomal RNA, 253 nt
Filed under: uncultured bacterium
Lineage: Bacteria
Description: partial 16S ribosomal RNA
Rfam family: Bacterial small subunit ribosomal RNA
Source: RNAcentral